This 680-nucleotide long non-coding RNA is filed under the name Phoenix dactylifera (date palm). Its description in RNAcentral is "long non-coding RNA (PDAC_LNC015509)". Lineage: Eukaryota; Viridiplantae; Streptophyta; Magnoliopsida; Arecales; Arecaceae. The record is from RNAcentral.
UUUAGUUCUUUUGUGAGACUCUCUUUUAAGAUAUGUUUAUUGUUUUUAAGUUCUAAUAUUUCUUUGUUCAGCCUUUCGUUAUCUUUAGUUAAGGUAUUAUUCUUUUGACUCAAGAUUUGGUUGCUAGUCUUAAGUUCUCCAUUUUCUUUAAUAAAAACAUCUUUAUCCUUAACUAAUGUAUCAUACUUACGGAGGUGAGUUUGGUUAGUUAGUUUUAAUUCUUUGUUUUUAAGGUUUAUUGUCUUGUACUCGUCCAUUAAUUCAUUGAAGGCAUCAUAUAAUUCAUCGAAAGUAAAAUCUAAAUGUGUUCCGGAUGUUACCUCAUUGUCGUUAGCCAUAAAACAAAGGUUGGCCUUUUCUUCUUGCUCCUCAUCCGAUGAUGAUGAUGAUGUGUCGGAGUCCGAUAGGGUAGAGACAAGGACUUUCUUUUUCUUGUACUUGCUCCCCUUCUUCAGCAAAGGACACUCAGCUCUGAAGUGCCCCAGCUUCUUACACUCAUAACAUCCGAUCCCCUCAUUUUCCCUUUUCUUACCUUUAUCCUUGUGAUAGGAACUUGAGGGGCCUCUCCUUUGAUGAAAGGUCUUCUUACGGUUGAUGAAUUUUCUGAAUUUUCUUACAAGGAGAGCCUCAUCAUCAUCUCCCUCAUUAUCUUCCUCUUCACUGCUACUGCUGCAAGAUAA